UUAAAAACAUAUUUUUUUAUUAAACAUAUGAGCUUUUUACAUAGUAAUAUAAACGUUUUUACUAAAACAACUAUAUUUUAUGGAACAAAAAAAUUAAUGAGAAGAGUGGUGUUAUAUCAAAAAUUUUGCAAAUCUGUUGAAUCUCUGGUUUAACAGGAGACAGAUGAAUCCAUAGCUGCUUCUCCAGUGAAUCACAAUUGGUUCAUUGUGACAGUCCAUGUCAUGUAGCUUCUGGGAAACUCCCCACUCCACCCCAGAGAGAAUGAGAGUGAAGAGGACAAGUAAUAUCUUAAUCAUCUUAGUAUCUGGAAGACAACAGUUUUGGCCUUGAAGACCCCCACCCACCACUGGGUCUAGGGACCUCCCAGGAGUCCUCAUGCCACAUUUUGAGAAUCACAGCUCUGCACAAUCUUCAGGUAGAAACAUUCAAGAUCCAGAAAGUCUCAAGGCUUUAAAUGCCUGAGUUCAAGCCCCAUCCCAUCACUUCCCAGCUGUGUGACCUUGGGCAAGUCAUCUAACUUUCUGACCAUGUCAGUCUCUUCAUCUCUAAAACAGGAUCAAUGACACCUACAUCUAGGCCGUGGUGAAAUGAGAAGUAACGGAGUCCCAGCAGUAAUGCGGCACUUGGCUGUCCCCUGGCUUCGGUAGACACUCCUUCGCCAGAAUGCUUCCUUCCAUGCGCAGAGGGGUCUUCCGUCUGUAACCCCUGACCUCUCUCUGCGCCUAUGCCCUCUUCUCUUCCCCAGGAAGAUGUGUGACCUAUCUCAUUGACCCAGGUAUGUCUUUAUCAGCAGCAUGAAAACGGACUAAUAUAAGGGGCAACUCUGGGACCUGGGAAGAAACCAGAAGGUAAGUGGCUUGGAGCAAAGUGGGUCUUCAUGGCUCACUGGAAAACCCUCCCUAGGCUUGGCAUUUCCUUUCUCGUGGCAUUGUCAAAGGGAACAUUCUGUUGACAUCAGAGGAUGAAUUCUGCUUCAAGGAGUGAGAAAGUACAGAGGGUUUAGUCAUCACCCCUCUCAGACGCUUGCCCGUGCUGUGAACCACUGUCGGAGGAAGGAGGAAAAUCUGUGGGUUCAGCCCACAGGGAGCUCAGCUGGUACCCACAGC
RNAcentral lists this long non-coding RNA (1107 nucleotides) under Homo sapiens (human). RNAcentral describes it as "HSALNT0289943". The record is from RNAcentral. Lineage: Eukaryota; Metazoa; Chordata; Mammalia; Primates; Hominidae.